UGGCUAUGUAGCUCAGUUGGUUAGAGCACCGCACUCAUAAUGCGGGGGUCACAAGUUCAAGUCUCGUCAUAGCCACCAU
This 79-nucleotide transfer RNA is filed under the name Acinetobacter radioresistens SK82. Its description in RNAcentral is "tRNA-Met". It matches the Rfam family "tRNA". Rfam says of the family: Transfer RNA (tRNA) molecules are approximately 80 nucleotides in length. Their secondary structure includes four short double-helical elements and three loops (D, anti-codon, and T loops). The record is from RNAcentral. Lineage: Bacteria; Pseudomonadati; Pseudomonadota; Gammaproteobacteria; Moraxellales; Moraxellaceae.